UAAUACGUAGGUGGCAAGCGUUGUCCGGAUUUAUUGGGUUUAAAGGGUGCGUAGGCGGUCUUAUAAGUCAGUUGUGAAAUACGGCAGCUUAACUGUCGAGGUGCAAUUGAUACUGUAAGACUUGAGUACUGUUGAGGUAGGCGGAAUGGACGGUGUAGCGGUGAAAUGCUUAGAGAUCGUCCAGAACACCGAUAGCGAAGGCAGCUUACUAAAGAGUAACUGACGCUGAGGCACGAAAGUGUGGGGAUCAAACAGGAUUAGAUACCCUGGUAGUCCACACUGUAAACGAUGAUUACUCGAUGUGUGCGAUACACAGCACGCGUCUUAGCAAAAGCGAUAAGUAAUCCACCUGGGGAGUACGCCGGCAACGGUG
This 373-nucleotide ribosomal RNA is filed under the name uncultured bacterium. RNAcentral describes it as "bacterial SSU rRNA". It matches the Rfam family "Bacterial small subunit ribosomal RNA", at positions 521 to 896 of the family's 1533-position model. The record is from RNAcentral.